AAUUUUACUGAAAUCAGUAUGACUCAAAUUUUUUUAUUUUACUUUAAUGAGCUAUCUUCUUCUAUCCCGACUUCAUAAAAAAAGAUUGUACAUCCAUGAAGCUGAUUUGCAAUGGCUACUUCAAAUAGUUCAAGAACUUUCUGACAGUGCUGGAUGACAUUUCUAUCUGCCUCAAUCACCUGGACACGACUCUAAAGCUGUAUUUGGACUUUCUGGCAGUCCUAAUUGACGUUGCUGGCUGCUUGAACUACUUUGAGACGAUCCAGAAGCUGGAUUUAUUUUGUCUGGGAGUAUAACUUUUAAUUUGAAACGCUGCGUGUACGUUAUAGGCUCUUCAAUUAGUUGUACGAGCAAUGCUGCAUAUGUUGACACCGUAGUCUACUGCGUGCUUCAAAAUAUAAAUAAGCAUUUUGGUGUUGUUGGUAUCUGAGCUACAUUAAUAUCUUGAUGAAGAAAAGACUCAGCUGUACUGCUCUAUCAAUAGAUCAGUGUUUUUAUCAGGUGAGAUCAUGAUCAAUACCAUGGUUUACUGGAUGCAGAUAAGAGUAUGGUGACCAGACAUAUGCCUAAACAUUGAUAACACUAGAGCUUGGUUGCGGUCAGCUUCAGGUAAAACAAGCAAUUGAAGCAAGGACUAACAUUUUCAAGAGCAUGUUAUUACUUUUGGAAUGAAAUAGAAGAUUUUUAUCAA
Nasonia vitripennis (jewel wasp) is the source of this 691-nucleotide long non-coding RNA. RefSeq lists it as uncharacterized. NCBI's taxonomy places the organism in Eukaryota, Metazoa, Arthropoda, Insecta, Hymenoptera, Pteromalidae. The record is from RefSeq and is a predicted model, not a curated record. The transcript has 6 exons.